GCUGCUGUUGCGCCUUCACGACCCCAGUCGGGACGCUGCUGAGGUCAGCUGCCCCUCCGUCCCACCCCUAUCUCAUCCAAUUGUGUCUCCCUACUCCCACGCUGUUGCCUCAGGUUAGGUCAGGGACACCCACAGUGCCCUCAUGGGCUCCCAGGUUCCUAAUCUUCCCCUGGGCUGCCGUACUCAAUCCCCUGCCUUGGGCUCUUCCAACGCUCCUGGUCACAACCCUUUCCCCUCUACCUCGUGCCACUUCCUGGGUCCCUAAGCCUGCUUCCUUUCCCUAUGCCAGAGCUCGGAGUGGACGCUGGCCCGCUGUGACCAGGCUCUUCGCUGGGGCCUGCUGGAGGAGAUGGUCACUGUGGCCCACUAUGACAGUCCUGAGGCUCUAAGCCGUGUCUGCCGGCGCCUGGUAGGUAGAGGAAGCACGGUGAUGGUGAGGGGGUGUGGUCCCUCAUGCUCCUGGUGGGGCAGGUGCACGACCUUGCUCCAUAUGGCCCAGCUCUCGGGCUCCCAACCCCAAGGUUCACCUCUGCAGUUUUGGCCCUCCUUCCUGCAACAAACCCUCUGUUCCCAGGUUCAGCUAUACCCCAACCACCUGCCCAGCUUCCUGAGCCAGACCCAGGGCUAUCUGCGGAGUCCUCAGGACCCACUGCGGCACGCUGCCACUGUGCUUGUAGGUAAGGUAGUCCUGGGUAGGCCAUCUCACCCAGGGCUCUAUGAACUGGACCCUCCCCUCCCCUCCCCUCUGGGACAUGCAGCCGGAACUCGGGGUUUGCUUUGGUCCAGGCUUCCUGAUUUAUCACGCAAGUCCCAGAGGAGUCAGCCAGGAGCUGCUGGAUUCCCUGCUCCAGGGUGAGGACUCAGCAUGUCAGAGCGUGAGGUCCUGAAGGGGUGGCGGGUGCUAGGACCCAGGGGAUGCUGGAGGGCCAGGGCUCUGACGCUGGCAUCCCGAGUGACCUUCCCUGCCUCCCUGAACCGUGUGUGUGUGUGCACAGACCUAGGGCAGCUGCGGAGCGACCCCGAGCCGGCGGUGGCCGCGGCGGCGCUCGUGUCUGCCCAGCAGGUGGCGCUGCUGACCCGUUCGCAGGACCGACGACGCGGUCCUCGCUUCCUGCGCCUCCCUUGGCGUCGCGCCCGCUCGGUUCAGCCCGCGCCUCUCUACGACGACAGCCCGUUCCAGCGCAGGAGCCUCGCAGGCCGCUGGGGCAGCUCGGGAACCCACUGAGCUCAAGCUAGGGCCCUCGGACCAGCGUCUGACGGGGGCACUGACCCACACCAUCCUCAGUCCCCACGAUGGCAGAUCUGCAAAGGGUACCCUGGGCCUGGAGCUGGACGCCAUCCCCUUGCUCUGGGACUCUUCUCCAGAGAUCACCACGUGACAGAGAGGGACAGCUGGUACCAUUUCACCCUGAGCUCCUCCCUCUCGAAUCCCUGGGUGCAUCUGUCCCCUGCCAGGCCUAUUUUCCUAGUCCCCUGGAGUGUGCCCUGUCCAAACUUUGGCUUGGCAUCUGGCCUGGAGGGGGUCUUAAAUGGGGGUCUGUAGGGACACUAUGGAGCCACACACCACAGGCUGUCCUGCCCCUUCCUGGACUCUGCCUUCCUCCCGCCACAGCCGACCAGCCCUGCCAGCAGCCAUCACCCCCUCCUUACCCUGUCCCUAUUCCUGAUUGCUGUCCUGGUUUAUGUCCUCUCUGCCCUCCUGCCCACACCUGCUGUCCACCUCCAGGGGCCACCCACCCCUACCCCACCUGACAGUGGGCUUCUCUGGAAGGCUCCCCUGAUGACCCGUCCUGAGGACAGCACAGGGGGAUUACCCUUAUGGGCUGAGGGAACCUUCUUCCUCAGCGAGGCUCACACACGCAGGUGUCUUUCCCUCAGGGACAGGGAUGGGGUCCUGCCCUCUCCCCAGCUCCCUGGCUCCACUCCACCCAUAGGACAAUAAACACGCGGCUCACAGGGGUGGGUCUGACUGAGAGUGCCAGCAGGAGAGCUAAGGAGCAGGCAGAGCCACUGGCCCCGCCCAGGGAAGCCCUGGGGCCAGCGCUCUUGGGACUGGCCUCAGGGUCUCUGUAGAUGAAUCUCGCAGGCUGCAUUGUAGGGUCAGGCCAAUGUGUGAGUGAGUCUUUGUAGACCCAGGGGCGAGGGUCACUGAAUCAAUUUGGAUCCUCCAGAGCAGAUGCUGAAAGGGAUCACAUGCAAGAGAUGUGUCAAAGGAAAGGCCGGAGAGCCUGGGAGGCGCCAGAUCUGGUGACUGAGAGGGAGGGAAGGAAAAGCGUCUGUGUGGGAGCUGUGGACAUCCAUGCUGGCCUCCAGGAGCUUUCAAGCUGGUCAGCCAUGUACAGGGUGAGUGUCAGAACAAAAGCCAAAUGGAUCCCCUCAGGAACAGUGCCCCCCAAAGCAAGCCUGGCCUCCGCACCUUCCUUGCAACCCAGGAACAGACCCCAGGAGGGGCAUGUGACACUCUCCCUCCAAGCACAGGCUCAUCUGCACCCCAGAGCACAGCGUGUCCAUGGGCAAGCCCUACGGUGCUGCACAGCCCACCCUCAGGUCGGGGCUCCGACGGGGAAGCAGCCGUGGUGAGAAGACAGCACCCACCCCCCUACCUGUGGUACUUGGACAGCCCACACCCCUUUGCAAGCUGCUCGGAGCCCGGCUGUCUUGCCCAAGCGUCCACCUGUCUGCCAUGGCCCUGGCCCAGGAGCUGGCAGUCAUGCGUACUCCCUGGUGCGGUGUGAGGUUCAGGUGAAGUACCCAGAGCCUCUGGAAGUGUGACUCGCCCUGGGACUUUGUUACAAUUCCAGGGAAGCUGCAGGUGGCCAGGUGGCUUGGGCCCUCUGUGAGGACGCCUCAGCUCCAGCCCUCCAGGGGACCCAUCCCCUGCACCCACAGAAAAGUCCACUCGUGGUUAAUCUUCCACCUGGGGGUUGGGCUUAGAGGGCCAGGGGACAGCUGCACCCUGACACAUGUACACCCUCUCCCCUUUUCACAUAAGGCCCUGCCAGAGGCUAGCCAGGCUGUAUUUAUUUAUUUGUUUUUGGUACUGGGGGUUGAACUCAGGGGUGCUUCACCACUGAACCACACCCCCAGCUACUUAAGUUGCUGAGGCUGGCUUGGAACUUGUGAUCCCCCUGCCUCAGCCUCCAAGUUGCUGGAAUCACAGGCCUGUGCCACCGUGCCCGGCUAGCCAGCCUUACUCUGGUGUUAAAAUGCUCUUACACGGGUCUUGUUGCUAUGUACCUCAUUAAUGGUCCCAUAUCCAAGAGCCAACUGUUGGACCCUCCAAAUGGGGCUUCGGUAGGCUGGCAGGACCACCUGUCACCUGGUCUUGGGGGUCUUUGGGCCUCAGGAGCAGUGCUGCAAGGCCUGCUUAUUCAGUGCUUUCCAAGGCCUGGGCCGUUCCCAUCCCGUUCACCCAGGUUUUGCUUUCAAGUUCCAGAACAGGGUUUCCACAGGGGGACCAUGGGCCCAAGAGUCCUGGAGCUGCUCUGCUGUGUGGAGGCUGAGUUUUAGGUUUCUAUAACCUGGAUAGGAGAUGUUUGAGGUGCACUGAUUGGGUUUUCUUGGGGGUCCAAUGUCCCAGCAUGGCAGAACCUGCUGGGAGCCAUUAGCCAAGUAGGCAUGACAAUUUCCUUGCCAGCGUACCCCAUGUUGCAGUGACAUUGAAUGUAGGUGACCUUGUUCAAGGACCAAGGCGGAUUAGGGCGUUCCCGGUUUAGGUUCCAGGUUUAAGGUUUAAGAUUAUUCCUGCUGGGAAUAGGGCGUAUCCUGCUGCCUGAGUUCCCCUUGAGUUCUCACGGGAUUCAGACAGUAUUUUUUGGAGAUAGAAGCCCAGUGGAGGGGGAUUUGGGCAGAGAACGUGGAUUUCCCCAGAACGUGAUUGUAGACGGCUGGUGUGAGUUCGGGAAUAAAGAGUUGC
Molecule: long non-coding RNA, 3916 nt
Filed under: Marmota monax (woodchuck)
Lineage: Eukaryota; Metazoa; Chordata; Mammalia; Rodentia; Sciuridae
Source: RNAcentral